Molecule: ribosomal RNA, 137 nt
Filed under: uncultured eukaryote
Lineage: Eukaryota
Description: partial 18S ribosomal RNA
Rfam family: Eukaryotic small subunit ribosomal RNA
Source: RNAcentral
UGGUGGAGUGAUUUGUCUGCUUAAUUGCGAUAACGAACGAGACCUUAACCUGCUAAAUAGCCCGGUCCGCAUUUGCGGGCCGCUGGCUUCUUAGGGGGACUAUCGGCUCAAGCCGAUGGAAGUGCGCGGCAAUAACA